UCUUAGACUCAGAAUCCAUUAUGGUGCAGU
This 30-nucleotide non-coding RNA is filed under the name Rattus norvegicus (Norway rat). The record is from RNAcentral. Lineage: Eukaryota; Metazoa; Chordata; Mammalia; Rodentia; Muridae.